CGUCAUGCCAGUUCGGGCGCGCCUGCCCUCUUCAUUGAUGGCAGCUGGGCUUCACUCCAGGCUGCAAAUCUCGCCCUGCGGCCCGUUGUUUGGUGAUGUCUUCAGUUCAUCUCAACCGCUUUCAAGUCAUAGUCUGGUCAAAUAUUGAAGAAUGUAUAUCUCCCAUAAAGAAAUAGUUGUCUGGAAAUAACAGCAAAAGUUGGUUAUCGGAAGAAAAGACCUCUACCAGGGGAAAAGGGGGGGGGAAUGAUAUUACAAAAUCCA
This is a long non-coding RNA of Rhineura floridana, 264 nucleotides long. RefSeq lists it as uncharacterized. Lineage: Eukaryota; Metazoa; Chordata; Lepidosauria; Squamata; Rhineuridae. The transcript has 3 exons. The record is from RefSeq and is a predicted model, not a curated record.